Misgurnus anguillicaudatus (oriental weatherfish) is the source of this 1991-nucleotide long non-coding RNA. RefSeq lists it as uncharacterized. Lineage: Eukaryota; Metazoa; Chordata; Actinopteri; Cypriniformes; Cobitidae. The record is from RefSeq and is a predicted model, not a curated record.
CCGCAGUGUUCUAGCUCCGCUCAGUUUAGACGCUUCCCCAGUUCGCUGGUUCACUAUGGCGGGUUAGGGAACAGGUAGUGACCAGCCUUCUGCAUUUCGCCUUAGGUUCUGCCCCUUAUGUGGAGGGCGGAGGGCUUUUGCAGGCACUGGAAGGGUUCAGCUGCAAUGGCGUUUUGGUAGGGUUUCCCAAUUCGUCGGUCACGACGUGACGUCAUAGUGACCGACUGAAAGGGAACGUCUCGGUUACGUAUGUAACCCUCGUUCCCUGAAGGAAGGGAACGGAGACGUCACGUCCCGUCGCCACAGUUUGCUGUUCCAUUGCUGUUUUCAGGCCGGGCACUGUUGCUCGGCUUCUCAGCAAUAAUAUAGCUGAUUUGGUAUUAUACCAAAUCAGCUAUAUUAUUGCCUGGCGGAGCGGCGCUGGCAUUAUGCAAAUACCUGCAUGCCAAGUUCAUUGGCGUUUUCAUAGUUUCUCGAAGUAGAUAGGUCACCCGCGAAGCGGUUCCCAAUUCGUCGGUCACGACGUGACGUCUCCGUUCCCUUCCUUCAGGGAACGAGGGUUACAUACGUAACCUAGACCUUUUUGUUGGCGCCGGCAUUAUGCAAAUACCUGCAUGCCAAGUUCAUUGGCGUUUUCAUAGUAUCUCGAAGUAGAUAGGUCACCCGCGAAGAGGUUCCCAAUUCGUCGGUCACGGCGUGACGUCUCCGUUCCCUUCCUUCAUGGAACGAGGGUUACAUACGUAACCGAGACGUUUUUGUUAGAUGAAAUUAUUUUAACAAUAAUAACUUUUCCUGAAAUUGGCACAAAUGGCACAGUUUCCCGAGAAUGAAGCUUACUAAUGGCCUGCCUUAUAAGUAAAUCAGCUGGAGAUUGGUGAAAAGAAAAUAAUUUCCAACUCCACCCUUAACCAACUUAGAGGAAGCAAAGCUAAAGGAGGUGCCUUUCAUUGCACAUAAAUGUUUCUCAACACACCUACAAAUCUUUGCUCUCACUUUACAUACAUUUUCAUUUCUUCAGUUUACUUUGCUAUUCAUACAUUGUCAGAUUCAAGCACAAAUAGAGGCUCUAACGUGGUACUGCUGCAUUAUGGAUAGCAAAAUUCAAAGUGCUCAAAGAGAUGCAGACGAGGUGAAAGUCAUUAUGUUGGAAAAUAUACAUUCAGAUCUCAGUCAGAGAGCUGAACAUCUUCAGAACACUGAUUUGGACGAAGCCGUGAAACCAAAAAGGAACAAGAAGAUGGAGUACCUUCAGGCUAAUAAAGGACUUGUUACCAUUGUACUAAUUUCAGCUAUUAUUGUAUUUGCUGUUGUGGUUGCUAUGCUUGCCACCCAUGACAUGCAAGCGCACACAGAAAUACACAGUGAUUUGGAAAAGCCAUAGUAUCAACAGCAGCAAAUUGAUCAACACGAAGAGAACAAAUCACCGGCAGUUUUGUUCAGGGUAUAAUUUACUCCACCGCUGCUGGAAGACAUUUAUGACUUAACACAUGUUGGCGUGCAUUGUGUUAUAAGAAUUAUCUGAGCUUAUGUGAAAAAAUGCAUUCUCUUUAAAAAAAACUUUCUUGUUAUAUGUAGUUUGAGUUUCACAGAAUUAGUUUAAUUGAUAUUAUUUAAAUGGGCAAAUUGCCCCACUGAAUUACAACACUUCCCUAAAUUUAAAACAUAUGUUUUGAACCUGUAUUAAGACAAUAGUUUAAACACAUUUUGAGAGCACUUGAGGCCUGUUAACUUUGUCAUAUAAACAUGACUUUGCAGAAAAGGUUACCAAGAAAAUCUUAUCCAGUCCUAUUCCAAAAAUGUGCUGAUAGUUUGGUAUGUAAACAGAAGCUUAAUAUAGCAGAUUUAAAGGAAGUGCAUAUCUGUAUUUAGUGUAUCUUUCUGGUCAUUCUGUGCUUUUUAAGGUGUCACAAAUGUUUUUGAAAGAUGUUGUUUUUCCCUGACAGUUUAGGCUUUGUCCAUUGCUGAAGAUUUAAUAAAAACCUUUAACAUCA